GAUGAAGAACGUAGCAAAAUGCGAUACUUGGUGUGAAUUGCAGAAUCCCGUGAACCAUCGAGUUUUUGAACGCAAGUUGCGCCCGAAGCCUUUUGGCCGAGGGCACGUCUGCCUGGGCGUCACGCAUCGCGUCGCCCCCCACAAUUCUCCGUAAAAGGAACAUGUGUUUUGGGGGCGGAUAUUGGUCUCCCGUGCUCAUGGCGUGGUUGGCCGAAAUAGGAGUCCUUUCGAUGGACGCACGAACUAGUGGUGGUCGUAAAAACCCUCGUCUUUUGUUUCGUGCUGUUGCUCGCAAGGUAAACUCUUUAAAAACCCCAAUGUGUCGUCUCUUGACGACGCUUCGACCGCGACCCCAGGUCAGGCGGGACUACCCGCUGAGUUUAAGCAUAUCAAUAAGCGGAG
RNAcentral lists this unclassified non-coding RNA (402 nucleotides) under soil metagenome. RNAcentral's name for it is "partial contains 5.8S ribosomal RNA, internal transcribed spacer 2, and large subunit ribosomal RNA". The stretch from base 1 to 122 matches the Rfam family "5.8S ribosomal RNA", at positions 35 to 154 of the family's 154-position model. The record is from RNAcentral.